RNAcentral lists this long non-coding RNA (2212 nucleotides) under Carica papaya (papaya). Its description in RNAcentral is "long non-coding RNA (CPAP_LNC004586)". Lineage: Eukaryota; Viridiplantae; Streptophyta; Magnoliopsida; Brassicales; Caricaceae. The record is from RNAcentral.
CAAGUAGUACUCGUCCGACAGCGGUUCUGACUCUUCUUUCUCAUCUGAAAAAUAUCAUGGUGAAUUUUAAUGAGUUUUACCAACUCAAUAAGUAUUUUCAUUUUUUCAAACCAUAUAAGAUUUCAUGUAAAAACACACAAUAUGAGACAAAUGCAGUAGUAAUAUUUUCAAUGUAAAAUUUAUUUAUUUAUUAUUUUUACCAUUUUCUAACAUAGAAUUUGUUUAUUAAAUGCAAUCAUUUCGGACAUUCCAAUUUCACAUAUUUUUUCCAUCAAAAUCCUCAGUUACACUCGAAUAUCAUUUAUAACCUCGAAAUAUUACCACAUAAACUCGAAAGAACAUUUAUAUACUCUCGAACAUCAUUCAUAAUCUCGAAAUAUAAUCACGUACACUCUAAAGAUCAUAUAUGCACUCAAAAUAUUAUUUCUAAGGUUUUAUCGUGCAAUGUCAUUUAUGUUGUCAUCGAGGAGAAACAAAAUAGAUCCCUCCAUCGCAUGGAUAACACACACACAAAAUCUCACAAUGAUCACAUUAGUUACGUUUGCUAGAUGACCCACACUCACAAACACAUAUCCACGUCUGAACUAGAUUUCAAAUUCUAUACAUGUGCAAGUUCACCAUGUCCGCUGAAUUACAGCUACACACACACACACUACUCUCCUCGAUUCAGACUAAACGAGAAGGUAUUCAAUGUCCAUAUCAUAUUCACUCACAUCCUCUCAUUUCUAAAUUUUUAUUUACUUCCCUCUUAUUUUAUUUUUCUUUUAAAUUUUAUUUAAAUUAAUCGUUUCAUAACCAUAAUCAUUUUCCUUCUAUUUUUAUUCAUUUUCUUACGUUAUUUCUUUUUCUCAACCUUCUGCUUUAUUUGUGAUUUCUUUUAAAUUUAAAUUUUAUUUCUUAUCAUUAGUUCAAGUAUUUCUCAGUCUUUAAUUUUCAUGGUCUCCAUAUCCUCAUAAAUUUCAAAUAAGUUAGAGUUCACUCGUCAUAGGUCCGGAUUCUGUUCUUAAUCGAGAAAUCGGGUUAGUAUUUAUUUUAUGUUUAAAACACACACAAAAUUUACAAUAUACAUAUAUAAAUUCAAAAUUCUAAUCUAGAUUCAAAAUAAAAAAUACUUAUAACUCCUUUUGCGCAACGACCUUCCUAGAUCUGCUUGAACCUUCGUAGAUUUGUUUGAACGUCUUGUUUCAUGGUACACACACGAUACAGAUUAAUUAAUGCAAUCUAAAUAUUAAACAGGGGCUAAAUUCAACCUAAAUCACGGGUUCCAAUGACAACCCGACGGGAUGCCCAGCUCACCACAUAAGAGUGAGCAAUUACUCCAUAACGAUCUCUGUUUCCAAACCCGAGGGUAUCGAGUUCUCGUACCCGAGGAAGACUCCUUGGUUUUUGCGUGGGUGAGCAACUAGGUCGAGCUCGCAUGACCAAUCUGACACCAACCGCUCGCCUCCAUCACCCUAAAACCAAAUUAAUCACGAAAAACAAUUUACCUGCGCCAGUGUGGUGCAAUUCAACCUCGGGUUCAACUCCGGAUGGUCUUUUUGGUUUCCCACAAUUCCCCUUGUUUGCUUCGAAGUUUAGAUGACAGAUUUCAUACCUGCAUACCAGUUAGUGCGAAAUAGGAAAAUGGAUUGAAGGAAAAGUAGAUGAAAAUGAUGAAAGACGAAAAGGACGAGAUUUACGUAUUUGCUCGAUUUCCAUCAUCACAUGGUACUCCUCAGCCCGAUUUCCUUCCUUCCUCUUCCGUUCAGCUUCAGCUAUGCACUCUCUUUCUCUCUCCCUCCCGAUUUUGACUAUUUCUUUCUCUCCUUUCUUCUUCUCCAGCUGCCCUCUUCCUUUCCUCUCUUUCUCUCUUUCAUUCGGCUCUCACUCCUUUCGGCCUCCUCUCAGCUUACCCGUUCGAACUUAGCUCUCUCAUCCUCUCUCUCUUUUUCGGCUUCUCUUCUCAAAAUGAAGAAGAAACCCUAAAAUUUUCUUUAGAUACCCGUCUCCCUGGGUCAUUGGAUCUUGCAAGGCUAGAUUUAGGUCGUUUAACUUGAAUAAAAUCUCAGUCGUUGGAUCCCUCAAACGAUUCGAUUAGGACCAUCCAUCUUCUAAUUUGUUUUUGCCCCAUUCCACUUUCAUUUCGUUAUGCUUUUACCUCUCUUUUUCUUACCUAUUUUUAGUUAAAUCCUUGAAAUUAAUAAAAAAAACCCUCAAAAUUUUAAAAUUCCUU